UGGUAAAAACUUAGUAGUUCUUAGUUGUGCUGUUACAAACCAGUGAUGUCCCGACAAGGACGUCGGGGCAAGCAAUCAGCGACACGAUGUCGCAUUGAUUGCGUUCACGUUCGGCUUCAAUACAUAAAUCAGCACAUCUUAGAACUACUUAGUU
This 154-nucleotide non-coding RNA is filed under the name uncultured Lachnospira sp. Lineage: Bacteria; Bacillati; Bacillota; Clostridia; Lachnospirales; Lachnospiraceae. The record is from RNAcentral.